This 432-nucleotide ribosomal RNA is filed under the name Globorotalia hirsuta. RNAcentral describes it as "SSU rRNA". It matches the Rfam family "Eukaryotic small subunit ribosomal RNA", at positions 1219 to 1470 of the family's 1831-position model. The record is from RNAcentral. Lineage: Eukaryota; Foraminifera; Rotaliida; Globorotaliidae.
UUACAGGCAAAUCUAAUAGAAUCUUUCUUAUUUCUAACAAGUAUAGAUUUCUAUUUGUUAUAAAGAUGCUAGUCCUUUCAUGAUUAUGUGAUAGGUGGUGCAUGGCCGUUCUUAGUUCGUGGAGUGAUCUGUCUGCUUAAUUGCGUUUCACUAAGGUCCAGUAAUCUAAGGUAUGCUCGUCUACUUAUCUCAUAUGACGCUGAUAGACCCCUCGUAAGAGCGCGUUGUCUAUUGCGUUAAUAUAUGUAACAAGUGACACAUACUGUUGGGAUCUGAAAGCAACGAACGUGACCGCAACGUCUUGUUGCCUUUCUAAUUUAUUCUAAUUCUUUUGUAAUUAGUCUAAUAACAAAGGCUAUUCUUUAAACUAGACGGACCGCUGUUUCUCUUUUAAACCAGAGGAAGGUUGCGGCAAUAACAGGUCUGUGAUGC